UGGGGAAUAUUGGACAAUGGGCGCAAGCCUGAUCCAGCCAUGCCGCGUGAGUGAUGAAGGCCCUAGGGUUGUAAAGCUCUUUCACCGGUGAAGAUAAUGACGGUAACCGGAGAAGAAGCCCCGGCUAACUUCGUGCCAGCAGCCGCGGUAAUACGAAGGGGGCUAGCGUUGUUCGGAUUUACUGGGCGUAAAGCGCACGUAGGCGGACUUUUAAGUCAGGGGUGAAAUCCCGGGGCUCAACCCCGGAACUGCCUUUGAUACUGGAAGUCUUGAGUAUGGUAGAGGUGAGUGGAAUUCCGAGUAUAGAGGUGAAAUUCGUAGAUAAUCGGAGGAACACCAGUGGCGAAGGCGGCUCACUGAACCAUUACUGACGCUGAGGUGCGAAAGCGUGGGGAGCAAACAGG
Molecule: ribosomal RNA, 404 nt
Filed under: Actinomycetes bacterium
Lineage: Bacteria; Bacillati; Actinomycetota; Actinomycetes
Description: Actinobacteria bacterium partial 16S ribosomal RNA
Rfam family: Bacterial small subunit ribosomal RNA
Source: RNAcentral